Molecule: ribosomal RNA, 1014 nt
Filed under: Triticum aestivum (bread wheat)
Lineage: Eukaryota; Viridiplantae; Streptophyta; Magnoliopsida; Poales; Poaceae
Description: partial small subunit ribosomal RNA
Source: RNAcentral
AUGUUUCCCCUUCACCGGAAAUCCGACACAUGUGAUAUUCUCAUCAACUUUGUUGCACACGCACGCACACAAUUCAACCUCCCCGUCAUCUCCUUCCAGACCGAUAAUGGUACCGAGUUCGUUAACUCUACCUUCACCGAGUUCCUUGCCCGCAACGGUAUACACCUCCGCAUGUCCUGCCCAUACAUCUCCCCUCAAAACGGCAAGGCCGAACGAGCACUUCGCACCCUCAACGACAUUACCCGCACCUUGCUGUUCCAAGCUUAUAUGCCCCUUGCGUACUCGGCUGAGGCCCUUGCCGUCGCAACCUUCUUGCUUAACCAUUGUCCUAGCCAAGCCUUGGACUUCCGGAUCCCGUAUACCCUCCUUUAUAAAAACCCCUCCCUCUCUGACCUCCGUGUCUUCGGGUGCCUAUGCUACCCUAACCAGUCCGCCAUGACACCGCAUAAACUCGCCCCUCGCUCCACCGCAUGCGUCUUUCUUGGGUACCCUGCAUUGCAUCGCGGCUAUCGGUGUCUCGACCUAACGACACGCCUCAUCAUCAUCUCGCGACAUGUCAUUUUUGACGAAAACACCUUUCCUUUCGCCACCACUCGAACCACUCAGUCUCCGGACGAUCUCGAUUUUCUUCUCGACUUGGUCGCCACGCAGCCUGCUACCGCGGUCGUCGUGCCUCCCGCAGACCAGCCCAACAUGGCGCCGACCUCCUCGGCCCAGCCCGCCAUGCAUGGCUCGGGGCCUUCCACCCCGACGUUGAUCGCCACAGCGCCCGCCUCACCCGCGCCGCUCUCGUCUGCGUCCCCCUCACCACCACCACCACCACCACCCCCUUCUCGUCGCUCUUGCGACAGUACCGCCUCCACCACCAACACUCACACCAUGCUCACUCGCGCCAAAUGUGGUGUUUUCAGCCCAUUAAUAAACUUAAUCUAUCAGCUGAACACUCCUCUCUCUCUCCUAUUCCCAAAACAUAUCGCUCUACUCUCCAGGAUCCUCUUUGGCGUGCUGCCAUGA